UAUAGUUAGCCAUUGUUAGCAGCUAGCUAGCGUUACCUAGAUAACAUAUAUCAACCAAGUCUCCCAGCGCGAAUUAAAGACUACCUGAAGUUACUUGGGAAGGAGAAGCUCUUGUAACAUAGUUUGCACAUGAAGGGACUCUCCUUGAGGCAGCUGAGGAAGGUUAGACCCAGGUCCCUUCUAUGAACCCUUUCAGUAGGCAUUAGACGGGACCCUGAAAGAGAAGACUACCACCAGAGGGGUCUCCCGCCACUCCCUCUGAAGGCUGAAUCCCAGGGUGACCUGCUCUGUUCAGCAUAGAUAUUGUGGUGUUUGUAUCAUAGGAACAAGAUGGUCUAUCAGCCACAGGUCCUGCUUCAUCCCUGCACUGAGACUGCGAAGAGAAGGGUCUGGGCUGCAGACUGGAUCUCUGACUGUAGUCUCUCUGAUGACCACCUGUCCACUGGUUGUGUUCUAUGUUGUGGUGGAGUCUCUGUCCCUUGCGGUUGGGUCCUGGUUCCGACUCGGGAAGGAAGAGCGAUGGCUCCUGAUCCAGGGUUCUGAGACGGGGCCAGGGUUUGUGACCAGCCACCUCAGUGGUCCAGUCUCUCCCACCAGUAACACUGGAUAUCAUCAGGUCUUCAAGGACUGCAGUCUGCAAACAAAGAUGGUACAGAAAAGCAUAAAGGUUUAUAUAAGAAACUCUUUACUGUACACAAACAUGACAUUAUAAAAUGUUAACCAGUCAAGCCCAUCUCUAACACUGAUUGAAGUACCUAACAAUAUGGAGCCAUUGGAUUGAUUUUUUAUGUUCAAACUCCGUCCCUGCAAUGAUACAAAAAUAACCAAGUCAGUCAGGACAGUGUCAAUUUCGUAUUUAAUUAAAACAAAUCACAUUUAUUGCACAAAACGAUAUGUGACAAGUAGAAUGACUUUUCUCAUUAUGGUAACACUGCCUUUUCUGUAAAUCUGGUACCCUCCCUUUGAUAAAAUGAAUGUUAAAAUACUUUGGAAAAUGUUUUACGUUACAUUACACACAGCGUCACUACUUCAUGUCAAGUAAACAUGAAUUAAGAUACUAUCAUUAUCUCACUAUAAAACACCAGUAUCAAACAGGACAAAGUUGUCACUUUUCAUCAGUGAAGCAUUUUUACAGACACCACCACACCAACCAUCACCAUAUCAUCUACUCUGCCUCAUCAUACUCAUUCUUCCCUCAGUUCUCCUCAUCCAGUUCUCUACUACAUCCUAAACCAACAGAAUGAACUAUGAACUAUCUAGUACUACAUUACAUGUCACUAUACUCUAAUCAGGGGCCUGUGCAUUUCCCCCAGACCCCCCCCCCCAGACCCCUCCUUCUUCACCAGCAGCACCUCCUCCUCCUGGAAGAGACAUGUGACACAGACACACACUCCCUCAGUUCUCUACUGCCAAUGACUGGAACGAACUACAAAAAGCACUGAAACUGGAAACACUUAUCUCCCUCACUAGCUUUAAGCACCAACUGUCAGAGCAGCUCACAGAUUACUGCACCUGUACAUAGCCCACCUAUAUUUUAGACCAAACAACUACCCCUUUCCCUACUGUAUUUAAUUUAUUUAUGUUGCUCCUUUGCACCCCAUUAUUUUUAUUUCUACUUUGCACAUUCUUCCAUUGCAAAUCUACCAUUCCAGUGUUUUACUUGCUAUAUUGUAUUUACUUUGCCACCAUUGGCCUUUUUUUGCCUUUACCUCCCUUAUCUCACCUCAUUUGCUCACAUUGUAUAUAGACUUGUUUAUACUGUAUUAUUGACUGUAUGUUUGUUUUGCUCCAUGUGUAACUCUGUGUCGUUGUAUGUGUCGAACUGCUUCGCUUUAUCUUGGCCAGGUCGCAAUUGUAAAUGAGAACUUGUUCUCAACUUGCCUACCUGGUUAAAUAAAGGUGAAAUAAAUAAAUAUAUUCUAGUCUGUC
Oncorhynchus masou masou (cherry salmon) is the source of this 1929-nucleotide long non-coding RNA. RefSeq lists it as uncharacterized. The record is from RefSeq and is a predicted model, not a curated record. The transcript has 3 exons. NCBI's taxonomy places the organism in Eukaryota, Metazoa, Chordata, Actinopteri, Salmoniformes, Salmonidae.